AGGGUUUGUGGUAUGUCCCUUCACCCUAUUUUUCCUAGCAGAAUACACCAACAUCAUCAUAAUGAACAUCCUCAAUCUUAUUUUUCGGAGCAUUCCACAGCCCAUAUUUACCAGAAUUAUACAGAGUCAACUUUACUGU
Molecule: long non-coding RNA, 139 nt
Organism: Lynx canadensis (Canada lynx)
Lineage: Eukaryota; Metazoa; Chordata; Mammalia; Carnivora; Felidae
Exons: 3
Source: RefSeq, a predicted model, not a curated record